CCUACGGGCGGCAGCAGUGGGGAAUAUUGGACAAUGGGCGAAAGCCUGAUCCAGCCAUGCCGCGUGUGUGAAGAAGGCCUUCGGGUUGUAAAGCACUUUCAGUGGGGAAGAAAGCCUUGGGGCUAAUACCCUCGAGGAAGGACAUCACCCACAGAAGAAGCACCGGCUAACUCCGUGCCAGCAGCCGCGGUAAUACGGAGGGUGCGAGCGUUAAUCGGAAUUACUGGGCGUAAAGCGCGCGUAGGCGGUCUGAUAAGCCGGUUGUGAAAGCCCCGGGCUCAACCUGGGAACGGCAUCCGGAACUGUCAGGCUAGAGUGCAGUAGAGGAAGGUAGAAUUCCCGGUGUAGCGGUGAAAUGCGUAGAGAUCGGGAGGAAUACCAGUGGCGAAGGCGGCCUUCUGGACUGACACUGACGCUGAUGUGCGAAAGCGUGGGUAGCAAACAGGAUUAGAUACCCCGGUAGUC
This 465-nucleotide ribosomal RNA is filed under the name Vreelandella stevensii. RNAcentral's name for it is "partial 16S ribosomal RNA". It matches the Rfam family "Bacterial small subunit ribosomal RNA", at positions 338 to 795 of the family's 1533-position model. The record is from RNAcentral. Lineage: Bacteria; Pseudomonadati; Pseudomonadota; Gammaproteobacteria; Oceanospirillales; Halomonadaceae.